RNAcentral lists this long non-coding RNA (609 nucleotides) under Ananas comosus (pineapple). RNAcentral's name for it is "long non-coding RNA (ACOM_LNC015688)". Lineage: Eukaryota; Viridiplantae; Streptophyta; Magnoliopsida; Poales; Bromeliaceae. The record is from RNAcentral.
UCCUCCCAACACCACCUCCACCACCACCACCAAGUGCUCCACUCCUCCAUUUCCCCGAUCUCAACGGUGGUUGCUCCUUGUUUCUCCACUGUACAUCCUACAACAUCAAACAACCACCCAACAGGUUAUUAGACAAAAUAACAUAUUUUAUGGUGAAUUCUCAGUUGCAGUAAUUAUCAGAGUUAUUUUUACUAUAAAUACAUUAUCUGAUAAAAUAUAGACGGUUAAUAUGUCUGAUCCCAUGUUAAAAAUUACUUUUACUAAAUUUUUAUAUAUUUUUUAUAUGAUAUAAGUUUAUAUUAAAAUUAUAUAACAAAAUAAAUUAUUUAUUUACAUAUAUAUAUAUUUUUUUAAGAGUAGAUGUAUUCAAUCUGAUCAGGUUAUUUACCAGUCGUAGACGGUGGGGGUGUUGGGCUGGGGCUUGUCGAAGAGGUUGGAGCCGAGGGUCUUGGUGGCGAGGUUGCUCCCCGGGUGGAACACGCUGCGCCAGACGUUCACCUUGUGCGGCGUCGACGGCGUGUUUGGCGUCACAGGAGUCGUCGGCGUGGCCGGCAUCGAGAUCGACCUCUGGUAGCCCUUGCCUGCGCCGCCGCUGCUCUCUCCUUCGUC